This 45-nucleotide non-coding RNA is filed under the name Schistosoma margrebowiei. Lineage: Eukaryota; Metazoa; Platyhelminthes; Trematoda; Strigeidida; Schistosomatidae. The record is from RNAcentral.
AUCCGGCUGACGAGUCCCAAAUUGGAUGAAAUGAGCAUCUUGAAU